CCUACGGGUGGCAGCAGUGAGGAAUAUUGCACAAUGGGGGAAACCCUGAUGCAGCGACGCCGCGUGAGUGAAGAAGUAUCUCGGUACGUAAAGCUCUAUCAGCAGGGAAGAAAAUGACGGUACCUGACUCAGAAGCUCCGGCUAACUACGGUCCAGCAGCCGCGGUAAUACGUAGGGGGCAAGCGUUAUCCGGAUUUACUGGGUGUAAAGGGAGCGUAGAGGGCAGGGCAAGUCUGCAGUGAAAUCCCAUGGCUUAACCAUGGAACUGCUUUGGAAACUGUGCAGCUGGAGUGCAGGAGAGGUAAGCGGAAUUCGUAGUGUAGCGGUGAAAUGCGUAGAUAUUAGGAGGAACACCAGUUGCGAAGGCGGCUUACUAAACUGUCACUGACGUUGAGGCUCGAAAGCGUGGGGAGCAAACAGGAUUAGAUACCCUUGUAGUC
Molecule: ribosomal RNA, 440 nt
Filed under: uncultured bacterium
Lineage: Bacteria
Description: partial 16S ribosomal RNA
Rfam family: Bacterial small subunit ribosomal RNA
Source: RNAcentral